AGGGAAUCUUCCACAAUGGACGCAAGUCUGAUGGAGCAACGCCGCGUGAGUGAAGAAGGUUUUCGGAUCGUAAAGCUCUGUUGUUGGUGAAGAAGGAUAGAGGUAGUAACUCGUCUUUAUUUGACGGUAAUCAACCAGAAAGUCACGGCUAACUACGUGCCAGCAGCCGCGGUAAUACGUAGGUGGCAAGCGUUGUCCGGAUUUAUUGGGUGUAAAGGGUGCGUAGGCGGCUUGGCAAGUCAGUUGUGAAAACUAUGGGCUCAACCCAUAGCCUGCAAUUGAAACUGUUGAGCUUGAGUGAAGUAGAGGUAGGUGGAAUUCCCGGUGUAGCGGUGAAAUGCGUAGAGAUCGGGAGGAACACCAGUGGCGAAGGCGACCUACUGGGCUUUAACUGACGCUGAGGCACGAAAGCAUGGGUAGCAAACA
RNAcentral lists this ribosomal RNA (426 nucleotides) under uncultured Bacillota bacterium. Its description in RNAcentral is "bacterial SSU rRNA". It matches the Rfam family "Bacterial small subunit ribosomal RNA", at positions 356 to 774 of the family's 1533-position model. Lineage: Bacteria; Bacillati; Bacillota. The record is from RNAcentral.